Long non-coding RNA from Alexandromys fortis (reed vole), 400 nucleotides. RefSeq lists it as uncharacterized. Lineage: Eukaryota; Metazoa; Chordata; Mammalia; Rodentia; Cricetidae. The record is from RefSeq and is a predicted model, not a curated record. The transcript has 3 exons.
GCCUGCUCGAUUCCGGCAGGUAGGCGGGAGAACAAUGGAUCUGGAGCUGUCGGCCUCCGGCAAAUCCUGUAUGUGCUGCCCACAGUGGUGAUCUUUGCUGGGAGUCUUUUCCUCCAGGACUUUCAGAGUGUCAGUGUGAUGGAAUCAGCUUUGACAAACGCAGUCUCUGUUCCUGUCAUCUGGAUGUGGAGAUAUGUGGUUCUUAAAAAUCAAAAUGUCCAGGGCUCUGCAGACACGUGGCAGAGGUCUCCAGACCCCCAGCAGGACACAGUUCUGGCUGGAGUAGAAAAGGACAGAAGACGCGCAGCGGUGGGAGAAGAUGGCAGGAUGGAGUGUGGACGGGCGGCUCAAGCGUCUAGGGUGCGUGCGGGCGUCAGCCAUCAGACACGGGAGGGGUGAC